GAUGAAGAACGUAGUGAAAUGCGAUAAUUAAUGUGAAUUGCAGAAUUCAGUGAAUCAUCGAGUCUUUGAACGCACAUUGCGCCCCCUGGUAUUCCGGGGGGCAUGCCUGUCCGAGCGUCAUUGCUGCUCUCAAGCACGGCUUGUGUGUUGGGCUUCCGUCCCUGGCAACGGGGACGGGCCCAAAAGGCAGUGGCGGCACCAUGUCUGGUCCUCGAGCGUAUGGGGCUUUGUCACCCGCUCCCGUAGGUCCAGCUGGCAGCUAGCCUCGCAACCAAUCUUUUUAACCAGGUUGACCUCGGAUCAGGUAGGGAUACCCGCUGAACUUAAGCAUAUCAAUAAGCGGAGGA
RNAcentral lists this unclassified non-coding RNA (347 nucleotides) under soil metagenome. RNAcentral's name for it is "partial contains 5.8S ribosomal RNA, internal transcribed spacer 2, and large subunit ribosomal RNA". The stretch from base 1 to 120 matches the Rfam family "5.8S ribosomal RNA", at positions 35 to 154 of the family's 154-position model. The record is from RNAcentral.